Molecule: ribosomal RNA, 678 nt
Filed under: uncultured Diversisporaceae
Lineage: Eukaryota; Fungi; Glomeromycota; Glomeromycetes; Diversisporales
Description: partial 18S ribosomal RNA
Rfam family: Eukaryotic small subunit ribosomal RNA (bases 1-525)
Source: RNAcentral
UUGGAGGGCAAGUCUGGUGCCAGCAGCCGCGGUAAUUCCAGCUCCAAUAGCGUAUAUUAAAGUUGUUGCAGUUAAAAAGCUCGUAGUUGAACUUCGGGGUCUACCCAUUGGUCAGGCUUAAUUGUCUGCACUGGUGAGAUAGAUCUCUACCUUCUGAGGAACUUUCAUGCCAUUUAUUUGGUGUGAUGGGAAAUCAGGACUGUUACUUUGAAAAAUUAGAGUGUUUAAAGCAGACUAUCGUCUGAAUACAUUAGCAUGGAAUAAUGAAAUAGGACGGACUGAUUCUAUUUCGUUGGUUUCUAGGAUCACCGUAAUGAUUAAUAGGGAUAGUUGGGGGCAUUAGUAUUCAAUUGUCAGAGGUGAAAUUCUUGGAUUUAUUGAAGACUAACUACUGCGAAAGCAUUUGCCAAGGAUGUUUUCAUUAAUCAAGAACGAAAGUUAGGGGAUCGAAGACGAUCAGAUACCGUCGGUAUCCGUUUAAAACCCAAUUAAAAAACCCUUAAAUUCGGGACCCCCGGGUAAAACCCCGUUUUUUAAAAACGGGGGGGGGGGGGAAAAAGUUUUUUUAACCCCCGGGGGGGGGGGAAAAAACCCCCGGGGGUAAAAAAAAAACGGGGGGGUUUUUUUUUUAAAAAAAAAACGUUUUUUUUUUUUUUUUUUUAAAAAAACGGUUUUUUU